RNAcentral lists this ribosomal RNA (288 nucleotides) under uncultured bacterium. RNAcentral describes it as "partial 16S ribosomal RNA". It matches the Rfam family "Bacterial small subunit ribosomal RNA", at positions 334 to 639 of the family's 1533-position model. The record is from RNAcentral.
UUCGCUUACGGGACGCAGCAGUGGGGGAUAUUGCACAAUGGGGGGAACCCUGAUGCAGCGACGCCGCGUGGGUGAAGAAGCGCCUCGGCGCGUAAAGCCCUAUCGGCAGGGAAGAAGAUGACGGUACCUGACCAAGAAGCCCCGGCUAACUACGUGCCAGCAGCCGCGGUAAUACGUAGGGGGCAAGCGUUAUCCGGAUUUACUGGGUGUAAAGGGGGCGCAGACGGCAAUGCAAGCCAGGAGUGAAAGCCCGGGGCCCAACCCCGGGACUGCUCUUGGAACUGCAUG